This 253-nucleotide ribosomal RNA is filed under the name uncultured bacterium. RNAcentral describes it as "partial 16S ribosomal RNA". It matches the Rfam family "Bacterial small subunit ribosomal RNA", at positions 524 to 776 of the family's 1533-position model. The record is from RNAcentral.
UACGUAGGAUGCAAGCGUUGUCCGGAAUUAUUGGGCGUAAAGAGCGCGCAGGCGGUCAUUCAAGUCAGAUGUGAAAUAUCCGGGCUUAACCCGGAGGGGUCAUUUGAAACUGGGUGACUAGAGUACAGCAGAGGAUAGCGGAAUUCCCGGUGUAGUGGUGAAAUGCGUAGAUAUCGGGAGGAACACCAGUGGCGAAGGCGGCUAUCUGGGCUGACACUGACGCUGAGGCGCGAAGGCUAGGGGAGCAAACAGG